UACGUAGGGGGCUAGCGUUGUCCGGAUUUACUGGGCGUAAAGAGCGCGCAGGCGGUCGUUCACGUCGGGUGUGAAAGCCCCCGGCUCAACUGGGGAGGGGCACUCGAUACUGAUCGACUCGAAGGCAGGAGAGGGAACCGGAAUUCCCGGUGUAGUGGUGAAAUGCGUAGAUAUCGGGAGGAACACCAGUGGCGAAGGCGGCUUUCUGGCCUGUUAUUGACGCUGAGGCGCGAAAGCGAGGGGAGCAAACGGG
This 253-nucleotide ribosomal RNA is filed under the name uncultured bacterium. RNAcentral's name for it is "partial 16S ribosomal RNA". It matches the Rfam family "Bacterial small subunit ribosomal RNA", at positions 524 to 776 of the family's 1533-position model. The record is from RNAcentral.